Molecule: ribosomal RNA, 264 nt
Filed under: uncultured bacterium
Lineage: Bacteria
Description: partial 16S ribosomal RNA
Rfam family: Bacterial small subunit ribosomal RNA
Source: RNAcentral
GUCCACGCCCUAAACGAUGUCUACUAGUUGUCGGGUCUUAAUUGACUUGGUAACGCAGCUAACGCGUGAAGUAGACCGCCUGGGGAGUACGGUCGCAAGAUUAAAACUCAAAGGAAUUGACGGGGACCCGCACAAGCGGUGGAUGAUGUGGAUUAAUUCGAUGCAACGCGAAAAACCUUACCUACCCUUGACAUGUACGGAAUCCUGAAGAGAUUUAGGAGUGCUCGAAAGAGAGCCGUAACACAGGUGCUGCAUGGCUGUCGU